CUUACUGCUUACUCUAGCUCGCUUGGUGCAGGUCGGGAACCCUUCGCACUUUAAUACCCUCACUAGCAGAGGGUUCCCGCCUUGCAUCAACUGAAUUGGAGACUACAGUAAAG
This 113-nucleotide microRNA precursor is filed under the name Amborella trichopoda. RNAcentral describes it as "MIR168 microRNA precursor family". It matches the Rfam family "MIR168 microRNA precursor family". Lineage: Eukaryota; Viridiplantae; Streptophyta; Magnoliopsida; Amborellales; Amborellaceae. The record is from Rfam by way of RNAcentral.